GGUUAAGCGACUAAGCGUACACGGUGGAUGCCCUGGCAGUCAGAGGCGAUGAAGGACGUGCUAAUCUGCGAAAAGCGUCGGUAAGGUGAUAUGAACCGUUAUAACCGGCGAUGUCCGAAUGGGGAAACCCAGUGCAAUUCGUUGCACUAUCGUUAACUGAAUACAUAGGUUAACGAGGCGAACCGGGGAACUGAAACAUCUAAGUACCCCGAGGAAAAGAAAUCAACCGAGAUUCCCCAGUAGCGGCGAGCGAACGGGGAGCAGCCCAGAGUCUGAAUCAGCUUGUGUGUUAGUGGAACGGUCUGGAAAGUCCGACGGUACAGGGUGAUAGUCCCGUACACCAAAAUGCACAGGUUGUGAACUCGAAGAGUAGGGCGGGACACGUGGUAUCCUGUCUGAAUAUGGGGGACCAUCCUCCAAGGCUAAAUACUCCUGACUGACCGAUAGUGAACCAGUACCGUGAGGGAAAGGCGAAAAGAACCCCGGCGAGGGAGUGAAAAAGAACCUGAAACCGUGUACGUACAAGCAGUGGGAGCACCUUCGGGUGUGACUGCGUACCUUUGUAUAAUGGGUCAGCGACUUAUAUUCUGUAGCAAGGUUAACCGUAUAGGGAGCCGCAGGAAACCGAGUCUUAACUGGGCGUUAAGUUGCAGGGUAUAGACCCGAAACCCGGUGAUCUAGCCAUGGGCAGGUUGAAGGUUGGGUAACACUAACUGGAGGACCGAACCGACUAAUGUUGAAAAAUUAGCGGAUGACUUGUGGCUGGGGUGAAAGGCCAAUCAAACCGGGAGAUAGCUGGUUCUCCCCGAAAGCUAUUUAGGUAGCGCCUCGUGAACUCAUCUUCGGGGUAGAGCACUGUUUCGGCUAGGGGUCAUCCCGACUUACCAACCCGAUGCAAACUACGAAUACCGAAGAAUGUUAUCACGGGAGACACACGGCGGGUGCUAACGUCCGUCGUGAAGAGGGAAACAACCCAGACCGCCAGCUAAGGUCCCAAAGUCAUGGUUAAGUGGGAAACGAUGUGGGAAGGCACAGACAGCCAGGAUGUUGGCUUAGAAGCAGCCAUCAUUUAAAGAAAGCGUAAUAGCUCACUGGUCGAGUCGGCCUGCGCGGAAGAUGUAACGGGGCUAAACCAUGCACCGAAGCUGCGGCAGCGACACUAUGUGUUGUUGGGUAGGGGAGCGUUCUGUAAGCCUGCGAAGGUGUGCUGUGAGGCAUGCUGGAGGUAUCAGAAGUGCGAAUGCUGACAUAAGUAACGAUAAAGCGGGUGAAAAGCCCGCUCGCCGGAAGACCAAGGGUUCCUGUCCAACGUUAAUCGGGGCAGGGUGAGUCGACCCCUAAGGCGAGGCCGAAAGGCGUAGUCGAUGGGAAACAGGUUAAUAUUCCUGUACUUGGUGUUACUGCGAAGGGGGACGGAGAAGGCUAUGUUAGCCGGGCGACGGUUGUCCCGGUUUAAGCAUGUAGGCUGAUUAUCCGAGGGCAAAUCCGGAUAAUCAAGGCUGAGGUGUGAUGACGAGGCACUACGGUGCUGAAGUAACAAAUGCCCUGCUUCCAGGAAAAGCCUCUAAGCAUCAGGUAACAUUAAAUCGUACCCCAAACCGACACAGGUGGUCAGGUAGAGAAUACCAAGGCGCUUGAGAGAACUCGGGUGAAGGAACUAGGCAAAAUGGUGCCGUAACUUCGGGAGAAGGCACGCUGGUGUGUAGGUGAAGUCCCUGCGGAUGGAGCUGAGACCAGUCGAAGAUACCAGCUGGCUGCAACUGUUUAUUAAAAACACAGCACUGUGCAAACACGAAAGUGGACGUAUACGGUGUGACGCCUGCCCGGUGCCGGAAGGUUAAUUGAUGGGGUUAUCCGUAAGGAGAAGCUCUUGAUCGAAGCCCCGGUAAACGGCGGCCGUAACUAUAACGGUCCUAAGGUAGCGAAAUUCCUUGUCGGGUAAGUUCCGACCUGCACGAAUGGCGUAAUGAUGGCCGGGGGCUGUCUCCACCCGAGACUCAGUGAAAUUGAACUCGCUGUGAAGAUGCAGUGUACCCGCGGCAAGACGGAAAGACCCCGUGAACCUUUACUAUAGCUUGACACUGAACAUUGAGCCUUGAUGUGUAGGAUAGGUGGGAGGCUUUGAAGCGUGGACGCCAGUCUGCGUGGAGCCAACCUUGAAAUACCACCCUUUAAUGUUUGAUGUUCUAACGUUGGCCCCUGACCGGGGUUGCGGACAGUGUCUGGUGGGUAGUUUGACUGGGGCGGUCUCCUCCCAAAGCGUAACGGAGGAGCACGAAGGUUAGCUAAUCCUGGUCGGACAUCAGGAGGUUAGUGCAAUGGCAUAAGCUAGCUUGACUGCGAGCGUGACGGCGCGAGCAGGUGCGAAAGCAGGUCAUAGUGAUCCGGUGGUUCUGAAUGGAAGGGCCAUCGCUCAACGGAUAAAAGGUACUCCGGGGAUAACAGGCUGAUACCGCCCAAGAGUUCAUAUCGACGGCGGUGUUUGGCACCUCGAUGUCGGCUCAUCACAUCCUGGGGCUGAAGUAGGUCCCAAGGGUAUGGCUGUUCGCCAUUUAAAGUGGUACGCGAGCUGGGUUUAGAACGUCGUGAGACAGUUCGGUCCCUAUCUGCCGUGGGCGCUGGAGAAUUGAGGGGGCUGCUCCUAGUACGAGAGGACCGGAGUGGACGCAUCACUGGUGUUCGGGUUGUCAUGCCAAUGGCACUGCCCGGUAGCUAAAUGCGGAAGAGAUAAGUGCUGAAAGCAUCUAAGCACGAAACUUGCCCCGAGAUGAGUUCUCCCUGAGACUUUAAGUCUCCUGAAGGAACGUUGAAGACGACGACGUUGAUAGGCCGGGUGUGUAAGCGCAGCGAUGCGUUGAGCUUAACCGGUACUAAUGAACCGUGAGGCUUAACCUU
This 2895-nucleotide ribosomal RNA is filed under the name Klebsiella pneumoniae. RNAcentral describes it as "23S ribosomal RNA". It matches the Rfam family "Bacterial large subunit ribosomal RNA". Lineage: Bacteria; Pseudomonadati; Pseudomonadota; Gammaproteobacteria; Enterobacterales; Enterobacteriaceae. The record is from RNAcentral.